RNAcentral lists this ribosomal RNA (674 nucleotides) under uncultured soil bacterium. RNAcentral describes it as "bacterial SSU rRNA". It matches the Rfam family "Bacterial small subunit ribosomal RNA", at positions 32 to 750 of the family's 1533-position model. The record is from RNAcentral.
AACGCUGGCGGCAGGCUUAACACAUGCAAGUCGAACGGUUGUAGCAAUACAGCAGUGGCAGACGGGUGAGUAACACGUGGGAACCUUCCUAGGGGUACGGAACAACUCAGGGAAACUUGAGCUAAUACCGUAUACGUCCGUGAGGAGAAAGUUUUAACGCCCCUAGACGGGCCCGCGUAGGAUUAGGUAGUUGGUGAGGUAACGGCUCACCAAGCCUACGAUCCUUAGCUGAUCUGAGAGGAUGAUCAGCCACACUGGGACUGAGACACGGCCCAGACUCCUACGGGAGGCAGCAGUGGGGAAUCUUGGACAAUGGGCGCAAGCCUGAUCCAGCCAUGCCGCGUGAGUGAAGAAGGCCUUCGGGUUGUAAAGCUCUUUUACCAGGGACGAUAAUGACGGUACCUGGAGAAUAAGCCCCGGCAAACUUCGUGCCAGCAGCCGCGGUAAUACGAAGGGGGCUAGCGUUGUUCGGAAUUACUGGGCGUAAAGCGCACGUAGGCGGAUUGUUAAGUCAGAGGUGAAAUCCCGGAGCUCAGCUUCGGAACUGCCUUUGAUACUGGCAAUCUCGAGUCCGGAAGAGGUUAGUGGAAUUCCCAGUGUAGAGGUGAAAUUCGUAGAUAUUGGGAAGAACACCAGUGGCGAAGGCGGCUAACUGGUCCGGUACUGACGCUGAG